This 465-nucleotide ribosomal RNA is filed under the name uncultured bacterium. RNAcentral's name for it is "partial 16S ribosomal RNA". It matches the Rfam family "Bacterial small subunit ribosomal RNA", at positions 28 to 507 of the family's 1533-position model. The record is from RNAcentral.
GACGAACGCUGGCGGCGUGCUUAACACAUGCAAGUCGAACGGAAAGGCCCUGCUUGCCGGGUACUCGAGUGGCGAACGGGUGAGUAACACGUGGGUGAUCUGCCCUGCACUUCGGGAUAAGCCUGGGAAACUGGGUCUAAUACCGGAUAGGAGCCAUUUUUAGUGUGAUGGUUGGAAAGUUUUUUCGGUGUAGGAUGAGCUCGCGGCCUAUCAGCUUGUUGGUGGGGUAAUGGCCUACCAAGGCGGCGACGGGUAGCCGGCCUGAGAGGGUGGACGGCCACAUUGGGACUGAGAUACGGCCCAGACUCCUACGGGAGGCAGCAGUGGGGAAGAUUGCACAAGGGGCGCAAGCCUGAUGCAGCGACGCCGCGUGGGGGAUGACGGCCUUCGGGUUGUAAACUCCUUUCGCUAGGGACGAAGCUUUUUGUGACGGUACCUAGAUAAGAAGCACCGGCUAACUACGUG